AGUAACGCGUGAGCAACCUGCCUAUGACAGUGGGAUAGCCUCGGGAAACCGGGAUUAAUACCGCAUAAAAUCGUAGAAACACAUGUUUUAGCGGUCAAAGAUUUAUCGGUCAUAGAUGGGCUCGCGUCUGAUUAGCUAGUUGGUGAGAUAACAGCCCACCAAGGCGACGAUCAGUAGCCGGUCUGAGAGGAUGAACGGCCACAUUGGAACUGAGACACGGUCCAA
RNAcentral lists this ribosomal RNA (225 nucleotides) under uncultured Eubacteriales bacterium. Its description in RNAcentral is "uncultured Clostridiales bacterium partial 16S ribosomal RNA". It matches the Rfam family "Bacterial small subunit ribosomal RNA", at positions 109 to 334 of the family's 1533-position model. Lineage: Bacteria; Bacillati; Bacillota; Clostridia; Eubacteriales. The record is from RNAcentral.